CCCUUAGAUGUUCUGGGCCGCACGCGCGCUACACUGAUGCAUUCAUCGAGUUUACAACCUUGAUCGAUAGGUCUGGGUAAUCUUUUAAAUGUGCAUCGUGCUAGGGAUAGAUUAUUGCAAUUAUUAAUCUUGAACGAGGAAUUCCUAGUAAACGCAAGUCAUCAGCUUGCAUUGAUUACGUCCCUGCCCUUUGUACACACCGCCCGUCGCUCCUACCGAUUGAAUGGUCCGGUGAAGCGUUCGGACCGUGGCCUUUGGACGGUUCGCCGUCUGUUGGCUGCGGGAAGUUCGUUAAACCUUAUCAUUUAGAGGAAGGAGAANUCGUANCA
This 329-nucleotide ribosomal RNA is filed under the name uncultured eukaryote. RNAcentral's name for it is "partial 18S ribosomal RNA". It matches the Rfam family "Eukaryotic small subunit ribosomal RNA", at positions 1470 to 1796 of the family's 1831-position model. The record is from RNAcentral.